ACUCCUACGGGAGGCAGCAGUAGGGAAUCUUCCACAAUGGGCGAAAGCCUGAUGGAGCAAUGCCGCGUGAGUGAAGAAGGUUUUCGGAUCGUAAAACUCUGUUGUUGAAGAAGAACAUGCGUGAGAGUAACUGUUCACGUACUGACGGUAUUCAACCAGAAAGCCACGGCUAACUACGUGCCAGCAGCCGCGGUAAUACGUAGUGGCAAGCGUUGUCCGGAUUUAUUGGCGUAAGAGAAUGUAGGCGGUUUAUUAAGUUUGUAAGUGAAAGACCCUCGGCUCAACCGAGGAAGUGCUUCGAAAACUGGUAAACUUGAGUGCAGAAGAGGAAAGUGGAACUCCAUGUGUAGCGGUGGAAUGCGUAGAUAUAUGGAGGAACACCGGAGGCGAAAGCGGCUCUCUGGCCUGUAACUGACACUGAGGCUCGAAAGCGUGGGGAGC
Molecule: ribosomal RNA, 441 nt
Filed under: uncultured bacterium
Lineage: Bacteria
Description: bacterial SSU rRNA
Rfam family: Bacterial small subunit ribosomal RNA
Source: RNAcentral